CCAGCCCCCGACCCAACAGCCAGCCGGUCCUGCUGGCUGUUGGGUCAGGGGCGGAGA
MicroRNA precursor from Gadus morhua (Atlantic cod), 57 nucleotides. The record is from Ensembl. NCBI's taxonomy places the organism in Eukaryota, Metazoa, Chordata, Actinopteri, Gadiformes, Gadidae.